ACCUAGAGUCAGUUGGCUGCUGUGAGGAGAAGAAGGAGUCAGUGCUCUGAGGGGCUGCCCCCAAGAAGGCAGAUUCUGUUCCUCCCAGUAGGUCUUUGAGAGCUGCUGAAAACUAACACAAGCUCUGGGAGAUCUGGGCAAGAAAUAUUAGGGAAAGGCUAGAAGCAGCAAUUCUGAAAACUGAUCCCAAGCAGCUGCUCACCAAGAGCAUGCAAGUACCCCUUGAGGAGGAUGACUGAAAUGGGGAUGUGCCUCCUGCUUUCACUCCCAUCACUGGGAUGGAUCCAUGCCCAGGGGCACCAAUCAGAAAUCAGCAGCUGGUGAGGAUCUUCCUGUUCUCCCUGGGAGCUGAUCAAGGGAACUUCCUCCUCAGUGCUUCCCAAGCAGCCCCCGAUGCUCCAGUCCCCUGCAGAGGCCCCUGUGCCGUGCAG
Long non-coding RNA from Zonotrichia leucophrys gambelii, 431 nucleotides. RefSeq lists it as uncharacterized. Lineage: Eukaryota; Metazoa; Chordata; Aves; Passeriformes; Passerellidae. The record is from RefSeq and is a predicted model, not a curated record. The transcript has 4 exons.